GGUGGCCUAGUGGUUAAAGUAUCCGCCUUUGAUGCUGGAGGUCGUGGGUUCGAUACCCGGUAUAGUCA
Non-coding RNA from Potamilus streckersoni, 68 nucleotides. The record is from the annotation of a GenBank genome assembly. NCBI's taxonomy places the organism in Eukaryota, Metazoa, Mollusca, Bivalvia, Unionida, Unionidae.